GAGCCGGUGUCCCGAUUUUAUAGACAGCCCCGAUAGCCGGGGCGUUUCCUUAGAGGGGCUCCUGUUACUCCCCCCGCCCCUCCCCCGGUUUGUCACACGUGCUGCCUGGUCACCCUGGCCUCAGGUGACUCUUAAGCAGCUGGGCACAGACUGGUUGUGAGUUUUAUGCUUCGGGUUCACCAACCCGCGUAUCAAGUGUAAAUGCCUCAAGACCUGCAACAGCCUUAACAUGGGCCCCGGGGGGAGUGGGUGCGGUGCCACUGUGCACAGGCAAAACUCAUGCCCCAGCCCCAGCCCCGACCCGCCCCGGGGCAGAUCUCUUUGCUUCCCCGCAGAAAAUUCCAGGGAAGCCGCACAAGUGGUCACGCCCCCUUCCCCGGCAGCACAGGUGCCUCCUUGCCAGUGCCCAGAGCAGCCGGCCGAGAGGUAAAGCACCGCGGGGAGAGGGCUGGGGAUGUUGUUCACGGGAGUCACGUGCCACUCCCCCCCCCCCCUUUCGGUGAGCACAGAGCUGCCGGGGUGAUGGAGGGUGGCAAGGAUGCCGUUCUGGCUCGCUGACUGCAGCUGGAUGCCACCUCCUGGGUCCUAGUGCGGGUCGUUCUCCGCUUGUGUGUGUGCUGGGUGCCCUGCGUGGAUUCCUUCCCGGUUUCUGUACAAUGAAGUGAAGAGGAGCUGGUGUGCCAGGAAGCUCAGAUGCACAAAAGGAUGCUGCUCCUUGUUCAUUCUACUAUGAGAGGCCUUUACCAGAUAACAUGAUGUCUCUCAUUUCCAUUUUGGUUUAUUUGGCUGACACACUCCUCCCCCAGAACAGCAUGGUACUGUAUUGUUCCUUUGGGUUAAGUUUUGCUUUGCCUACUGCUAUGAAACAUUUUCCUGUAUCUUAUACUGUGUCUGGUGGGUAACUAACUUACUGCUGUAGGGGUAUGCUGGCUGAUUUUGACAUUACAUUUCAAAUCAGAAUUUUUAACUUUUAUUGAUCCCUAAUUCAAAAAAAAUCCAACCCACAUUAUCCAUACAUUUUAAAAAUGGAAAUUUCAUCUCAUAGAACUAAUGCUUGGAAUUACAAACAAGUCUGAUUUCUCAAAAAGGGUAAAUGAACAGGAUUACAGAAAGAAAGCAACAAUAAACUAUAUGUAUUGUAA
Long non-coding RNA from Chelonia mydas (Green sea turtle), 1142 nucleotides. RefSeq lists it as uncharacterized. The record is from RefSeq and is a predicted model, not a curated record. The transcript has 2 exons. Lineage: Eukaryota; Metazoa; Chordata; Testudines; Cheloniidae.